This 3027-nucleotide ribosomal RNA is filed under the name Collinsella sp. TF11-5AC. RNAcentral's name for it is "bacterial LSU rRNA". It matches the Rfam family "Bacterial large subunit ribosomal RNA". Lineage: Bacteria; Bacillati; Actinomycetota; Coriobacteriia; Coriobacteriales; Coriobacteriaceae. The record is from RNAcentral.
GCAAGAUACCACGGGCGCACGGCGGAUGCCUUGGCACAGGGAGCCGAUGAAGGACGCGGCAAGCUGCGAUAAUCCCCGGCGAGGAGCACACAUCCUUCGACCCGGGGGUCUCCGAAUGGGCGAACCCAUCCACAGCAGUGUGGAUAUCCCCACCCCGAACACAUAGGGGUGGGGAGGACAACCCGGGGAACUGAAACAUCUAAGUACCCGGAGGAGAGGAAAUCAAUCUCGAGACUCCCCGAGUAGCGGCGAGCGAAAGGGGACCGAUGGCCAAACCGUCGAGCGGGCGUACCCGGCAGGGGUUCCGCCGACGGGGUUGCAGGGCCGCGCAUCCGGGGGCUGCCGCCCCCGGGCGCAGGUCCGGCUGGGGAGCGGAACGGCAUGGGAGGGCCGGCCGCAGCGGGUGACAGCCCCGUACGCGAACCCAGACCGGACGGCGCGACGCGGUCCCUGAGUAGGGCCGGGCACGUGAAACCCGGUCCGAACCUGGGUGGACCACCAUCCAAGCCUGAGUACUACCCUGUGACCGAUAGCGCACCAGUACCGUGAGGGAAAGGUGAAAAGCACCCCGGGAGGGGAGUGAAACAGUACCUGAAACCGUGCGCCCACGAGCAGUCGGAGCACCCUUGUGGUGUGACGGCGUGCCUUUUGUAGAAUGAGCCAGCGAGUCGCUGGCGCGGGGCGAGGUUAACCGAAAGGGAGCCGGAGCGAAAGCGAGCCUUAACAGGGCGACUUGAGUCCCGCGCCGCGGACGCGAAGCCGGGUGAGCUAUCCGUGGGCAGGCUGAAGCGGGGGUAAGACCCCGUGGAGGGCCGAACGCACGUCGGUUGAAAACGGCGGCGAUGACCUGCGGAUAGGGGUGAAAGGCCAAUCAAACCCGGAGAUAUCUCGUUCUCCCCGAAAUAGCUUUAGGGCUAGCGUCGCGCGUUCACCGCCGGAGGUAGAGCACCGGAUGGACGAGGGGGCUUCGCCGCCUACCGAAUCCAACCGAACUCCGAAUGCCGGCGGCCCAGAGCGCGGCAGUCAGAGCAUGUGGGCUAAGCUGUGUGCUCGAGAGGGAAACAGCCCGGACCGCCCGCUAAGGUCCCCAAGUUCCAGCCGAGUGGCAAAGGAUGUGCGUCCGCCCAGACAACCAGGAUGUUGGCUUAGAAGCAGCCAUGCAUUCAAAGAGUGCGUAACAGCUCACUGGUCGAGUGGACAUGCGCCGACAAUACACGGGGCUAAGCUGGACACCGAAGCGGCGGGAUUUUACCUAAGUAGAAUCGGUAGGGGAGCUUCCCAUGGGCGGGGAAGCCGCCGGGCGACCGGCGGUGGAGCGCAUGGGAGUGAGAAUGCUGGCAUGAGUAGCGAGAGACGAGAGAGUAACUCGUCCGCCGUGAACCCGAGGUUUCCUGGGCAAGGCUAAUCCUCCCAGGGUCAGUCGGGGGCUAAGGCGAGGCCGGGAGGCGUAGCCGACGCGCAGCAGGCAGACAUUCCUGCACCGCGCACGCGGCGCUACGACCGACGGGGCGACGGAUGGGGGUGGCUCGGCGGGGUUCUGGACGUCCCCGUGAUGGAGCGCGGCCCGCGGACCAGGGAAAUCCGGUCCGCACGAGGGCGAGGCUCCGGACGAAGCGAUCAAGCGAAGCGAGUGAGCCCGAGGUCCCUAGAAAAACCCCUAGGCAGGCGCGUGCGCGCCCGUACCGCAAACCGACACAGGUGGGUGGGUAGAACAUACCGAGGCGAUCGGGUCAACCAUGGUCAAGGAACUCGGCACAAUGGCCCCGUAACUUCGGGAGAAGGGGUGCCCGCGCGUACGUGAACCGGCUUGCCCGGGGAGCGGAGGCGGGCCGCAGUGGAGAGGCCCAAGCGACUGUUUACCAAAAACACAGGACUCUGCAGAAGCCGCAAGGCGACGUAUAGGGUCUGACGCCUGCCCGGUGCCGGAAGGUCACGCGGAGGAGUUAGCUUUCGAGCGAAGCCCCGAAGCCAAGCCCCGGUAAACGGCGGCCGUAANNNNNNNNNNCGCAUCGCGCGAAGCCCCGAAGCCAAGCCCCGGUAAACGGCGGCCGUAACUAUAACGGUCCUAAGGUAGCGAAAUUCCUUGUCGGGUAAGUUCCGACCUGCACGAAAGGCGCAACGACUUGGGCGCUGUCUCGACCAUGGACCCGGUGAAAUUGCACUGGUCGUGAAGAUGCGACUUACCCGCGGAAGGACGGAAAGACCCCGUGAACCUUCACUGCAGCUUGGCAUUGGCCGCUGGUCCCGCGUGUAGAGGAUAGGCAGGAGGCACAGAUCCGGAGGCGCCAGCCCCCGGGGAGCCGCCCUUGGAAUACUGCCCUCGCGCGACCGGCGUCCUAACCCGAGGCCGUCAACCGGCUCGGGGACCGUGCCAGGCGGGCAGUUUGACUGGGGCGGUCGCCUCCUAAAGGGUAACGGAGGCGCGCGAAGGUCCGCUCGGGACGGUCGGCAACCGUCCUUUUGAAUGCAAGAGUACAAGCGGGCUUGACUGCGAGGCCCACAAGCCGAGCAGGUGCGAAAGCAGGCUCUAGUGAUCCGGCGGCCCCGAGUGGGUGGGCCGUCGCUCAACGGAUAAAAGGUACUCCGGGGAUAACAGGCUGAUCUUGCCCAAGAGUCCACAUCGACGGCAAGGUUUGGCACCUCGAUGUCGGCUCAUCGCAUCCUGGGGCUGGAGCAGGUCCCAAGGGUACGGCUGUUCGCCGUUUAAAGCGGUACGCGAGCUGGGUUCAGAACGUCGUGAGACAGUUCGGUCCCUAUCCUCCGUGGGCGCAGGAGAAUCGAUGGAGGCUGCCCCCAGUACGAGAGGACCGGGGUGGACGCACCUCCGGUGAACCGGUUGUCGACCAACGGCACGGCCGGGUAGCCGCGUGCGGCGCGGAUAACCGCUGAAGGCAUCUAAGCGGGAAGCCGUUCCAGGGAUUAGUUCUCCUUCCGGUAAGGGCCCAGGUAGACUACCUGGUCGAUAGACGGCAGGUGCAAGGGCGGCGACGUCCUCAGCCGAGCCGCACUAAUCGCCCGAGCUCUUCC